This is a long non-coding RNA of Nycticebus coucang (slow loris), 1225 nucleotides long. RefSeq lists it as uncharacterized. NCBI's taxonomy places the organism in Eukaryota, Metazoa, Chordata, Mammalia, Primates, Lorisidae. The transcript has 4 exons. The record is from RefSeq and is a predicted model, not a curated record.
AAUAGAGGGUGGGGCACUUAUGUUCCUUGAAGCAUAAAAAUGCAAGGAUUUUCCUCUUCUGUUCCUCUUUUUUGCUGUUGAGUUUUGUGCUCUUAAAAUAUCUGCUUUACCAGAAAGAGAGUAGGCCUUCACUCAAAGAAACGGCAGAGAAGUGAAGUCGAAUUACUGGAAAAGGUUUCAUGGCCUGGUCAGCAGGGAAGGCAGCUGGCCAUCACUUCCUGUUCACCCGGGAGGAAGAGGAACGUCUAAGCUGAAACAACCUUAGGUAUAUAUCCAGAAGACCAAAAUUCACAUUAUAACCAAGAUAUUUGUACCAGAAUAUUUAUUGCAGCCCAAUUCAUAAUUGCUAAGUCAUGGAAAAAGCCCAAGUGCCCAUCGACCCACGAAUGGAUUAAUAAAUUGUGGUACAUGUACUAUGGAAUAUUAUGCAGCCUUACAGCAAGAUGGAGACUUUACCUCUUUCAUGUUUACAUGGAUGGAGCUGGAACAUAUUCUUCUUAGUAAAGUAUCUCAAGAAUGGAAGAAAAAGUAUCUAAUGUACUCAGCCCUACUAUGAAACCAAUUUAUAGCUUUCAUGUGAAAGAUAAAGGAAAUAUUUGAAAGGAAGAAAUUUUGAUGACAUUAAAGACAUCCAGGGUGAUACAAUAACAGUUCUGAUGGCCAUUCCAGAAAAAGAGUUCCAAAAUUUCUUUGAAGAGUGAACUAGGGCUGGCAUCAGUGCCUUGCUUUCUAGAAGGAGGACUUUGAAGAUGACCAUAGUUAUAUCCAGCAAUGAGAGACAAAGUCUCACUUUACCGCCCUUGGUAGAGUGCCAUGACGUAACAGGACUCACAGCAACCUCCAGCUCUUGGGCUUCCGUGAUUCUCCUGCCUCAGCCUCCCGAGCAGCUGGGACUACAGGCACCCGUCACAAUGCCCAGCUAUUUUUUUGUUGCAGUUCAGCAGGGGCUGGGUUUGAACCCGCCACCCUCGGUAUAUGGGGCCUGCGCCCUACUCACUGAGCCACAGGCACCACCCAGUUUGUGGCAUUUCUUAAGUACAUACAUUCACAUUGAUGUACAACCAUCACCACCAUCCAUCUCCAGAACAUUUUUGUCUUCCCAAACUGAAACUCUGCCCCCAUUAAACACUAAUUCCCCAUUCCCCCUAAGCUCAGCCCCUGGUAAUCACUGUUCUACUUUCUUUUUUAUGAACUUGAUUCUGCUGGGCACUUCAUAUAAGUGGAA